This 1681-nucleotide ribosomal RNA is filed under the name Salmonella enterica. Its description in RNAcentral is "partial 23S ribosomal RNA". It matches the Rfam family "Bacterial large subunit ribosomal RNA", at positions 1163 to 2803 of the family's 2925-position model. RNAcentral also lists the same sequence under 2 other names. Lineage: Bacteria; Pseudomonadati; Pseudomonadota; Gammaproteobacteria; Enterobacterales; Enterobacteriaceae. The record is from RNAcentral.
UAAAGCGAUUCAGCGGGUUACGAUUGACGGAGCGAAGCGACGUCAAAGCGUAUACAAAGUCGAGUCGGUUUAAGGAUACGUUCGUUGGGUAGGGGAGCGUUCUGUAAGCCCGUGAAGGUGGCCUGUGAGGGUUGCUGGAGGUAUCAGAAGUGCGAAUGCUGACAUAAGUAACGAUAAAGCGGGUGAAAAGCCCGCUCGCCGGAAGACCAAGGGUUCCUGUCCAACGUUAAUCGGGGCAGGGUGAGUCGACCCCUAAGGCGAGGCCGAAAGGCGUAGUCGAUGGGAAACGGGUUAAUAUUCCCGUACUUGGUGUUACUGCGAAGGGGGGACGGAGAAGGCUAUGUUGGCCGGGCGACGGUUGUCCCGGUUUAAGCGUGUAGGUGUGUGUUCCAGGUAAAUCCGGUUCACUUUAACACUGAGGCGUGAUGACGAGGCACUACGGUGCUGAAGCAACAAAUGCCCUGCUUCCAGGAAAAGCCUCUAAGCAUCAGGUAACAUCAAAUCGUACCCCAAACCGACACAGGUGGUCAGGUAGAGAAUACCAAGGCGCUUGAGAGAACUCGGGUGAAGGAACUAGGCAAAAUGGUGCCGUAACUUCGGGAGAAGGCACGCUGACACGUAGGUGAAGUGAUUUACUCACGGAGCUGAAGUCAGUCGAAGAUACCAGCUGGCUGCAACUGUUUAUUAAAAACACAGCACUGUGCAAACACGAAAGUGGACGUAUACGGUGUGACGCCUGCCCGGUGCCGGAAGGUUAAUUGAUGGGGUCAGCGCAAGCGAAGCUCCUGAUCGAAGCCCCGGUAAACGGCGGCCGUAACUAUAACGGUCCUAAGGUAGCGAAAUUCCUUGUCGGGUAAGUUCCGACCUGCACGAAUGGCGUAAUGAUGGCCAGGCUGUCUCCACCCGAGACUCAGUGAAAUUGAACUCGCUGUGAAGAUGCAGUGUACCCGCGGCAAGACGGAAAGACCCCGUGAACCUUUACUAUAGCUUGACACUGAACAUUGAGCCUUGAUGUGUAGGAUAGGUGGGAGGCUUUGAAGUGUGGACGCCAGUCUGCAUGGAGCCGACCUUGAAAUACCACCCUUUAAUGUUUGAUGUUCUAACGUGGACCCGUAAUCCGGGUUGCGGACAGUGUCUGGUGGGUAGUUUGACUGGGGCGGUCUCCUCCUAAAGAGUAACGGAGGAGCACGAAGGUUGGCUAAUCCUGGUCGGACAUCAGGAGGUUAGUGCAAUGGCAUAAGCCAGCUUGACUGCGAGCGUGACGGCGCGAGCAGGUGCGAAAGCAGGUCAUAGUGAUCCGGUGGUUCUGAAUGGAAGGGCCAUCGCUCAACGGAUAAAAGGUACUCCGGGGAUAACAGGCUGAUACCGCCCAAGAGUUCAUAUCGACGGCGGUGUUUGGCACCUCGAUGUCGGCUCAUCACAUCCUGGGGCUGAAGUAGGUCCCAAGGGUAUGGCUGUUCGCCAUUUAAAGUGGUACGCGAGCUGGGUUUAGAACGUCGUGAGACAGUUCGGUCCCUAUCUGCCGUGGGCGCUGGAGAACUGAGGGGGGCUGCUCCUAGUACGAGAGGACCGGAGUGGACGCAUCACUGGUGUUCGGGUUGUCAUGCCAAUGGCACUGCCCGGUAGCUAAAUGCGGAAGAGAUAAGUGCUGAAAGCAUCUAAGCACGAAACUUGCCCCGAG